AUUUUAGCUACACUAAUUCUUUUCUGUGUUUUAUUUUCACCUCCUAUUAAAGACCAAAGGGAGAGAAGCUCAGCGUGGAGAAUUCAAAGAGAACACCAGAGGCAGCUUUCAGCCAAGUCCUGUGUUCUGGAGAGAGCAGUGGCAGGGAAAGGUGUGAAUCGACCUGGAGUUACAGCAUGGAGAGAAGGUCAGAAGUUGGCCAGAAGGCUGCUGGGUCCAGCCCCUCCCAUUCCACAUUUGAGGAGCAGAACUGGAGAGCAAAGCACAGCAAAGACCUUUGAACCUUUGGAAGGAGGUGGAGGACUUGGGGCAAUGCCAGUGAUGGAAAAGAGCUCCAGAGUGGAGGGAAAUGAAGCUGUGGGGAGGAGCCCUGGAGCCCAAAGCGCUGUGGUGGCUCCCAGCAAGGCUGGAAGGGGCAGCAAUGCCCCCACAGAGGGCACAAACCAAGCCCUCAGGAACCUCCCCUUGCAAUGGCAGUCCUGUGAGGAACACAGACAUAUCAGGCUCCCCAGGGAGGCUGUGAAACACCAACCCCAAGGGAUCCAUUCUCCUCCCCCUGGACUUUCGUUAAGGAAAGAUGGAGCCAAGCCCAGCAGAGGAAACAGUGCAGCUCCUCAGAGACAGAAAGAGUCUGAGAAAGAAAACCUUGAGCAACCUUCAAAGAGGAGAGCAAACCUUAAAAAACCUCACCCUUACAGCCCUGAAAGCGUUCGGGAAUUUAUGUAUCGGAAAAAGGCAGAGAGAAAGAGAAAACUCCUCAAAGCGAAAAAGGCUUUGGCACAGGCUGAGGAGAUGAAAAAGAAGAGGUUGCAAGAAUUGUACAGGAAACAAAAAGAAGCUAUUGGGAAGAAAUUGUGUCCUGAUGAGAUGCACAAACCCCUUGGGAAAAUGGGUUCUGCCAAAGGAAAUCCUCAGAGUGAAUUGGAUCAAAGGCAAAGCAAUGGGGGAGAACUGGAAAGGAGUUUCAUGGCCUGGGUGGAUGAAACAUCCUCUCCUCUGUCACCAGAAGAUCACAGAGGCAGGAAUCAACUCCUAGAAACAGCUCAAUCACCUAAAAAAGGAGAAGCAUCAGGUCCUGCAGCACCACUGGAAUCUGAAUGCUGGUUUCUCAGUCCUCUGAAAUGUGAAGACUUGAGGGACUGCUCUCCCCCAGCUCUGCAUUCACCUCCUCUGAGCUUUUCUGUUCCUCAGAAAGAUGCAAAACCUCCCUCCAAGGACUCAUCUGUUGGACUUUCUCCACAGAGAAGCAAACAGAAUCAAGUGAGGGCCAUUCACAGUCUGUCCAGGGAACUUGCAGAAAAGAUUGACGUGGCAAGGAAGAGGCUGAGUGCAGCCAGCUGGGCUAAAGCCUCUGCUGACAAACAAUCCACAGGGACAGCUCUGGGCCUGCACAGUGAUCCUCCCUCUGCCCCAGCACCCGAGGCUUCCAGGGACAGGCAAGGGAGGACAACGACUGCACAAAUGCCUCUGGACAGAGAUCCUGAAGGGCUUUGUGUGACACCCAGCAGGGAAUGCCAUGGGCUGGGCAGGACUGGCCUGCUGGGCACACAGGGGGAAAUGCCAGCUCCUCUGCCAGGUGGGAAUGCUCAGAGGGAGGAAUUGCCCUGGAUCACUCCCCAUGCAGGACAGAGUCACCUGAGCUCUGCAGGAGAGCUGAGCAACACCUUGCAAGGUUUCCCUGUGAAUAAGGGCUCCAAGGUGGACAUAAGUCUAUGGCAUGAAAGGCCAAUAACCAGCCCAGCCUCUCCAGCUCACAGAUUCCUCACUAGAAGCCCGCAGGGAGAGCUCACGGCGCGGAGGGAUCAGUGUGGAUGUGAGACUGUUCUGAAAGUUCAGAACCAAGAGGAAAUGGCCAACCCAUCUCCUGGAGAGAGCCUGAGCAUCUGGGACAGCCUGAGCUUCCAGCCCUCUGCCACCCUGAGCACUGAGCAGCACUUGGGUGAGGGAGAUUUUGGUGGCACAGAGCUGGAGGACAAACACAGGAGACACCUGGACAUUUUAAGUCAAACCUCCUUACUACUGGCUCACAAACUGAAGCUCCAGCAGCAGCAGCACAAACAUCGGCUUCUGGUGCUGAGGGAGAAGGCAAAGCAAGAGGUUGAGGAAAGCCACAGGUUUUUGAGGGGCCUGCUGCAGCUCAGUUCUGAGGCCAGCAGGAAUUCCACAAGCAGUGCUCCUCCUGUGACAAGACCCGACCACGCAGAGCAGACACACAGAGGACACUGGCUGGAAGGUGACCUUGCUGCUGGCAGCUACAGGAGGUAGGCUACAGUGAGGCACUCCAGCAUUUGGUCUGUGGUUUGAUUAUAUUAAUAUUUUGGGGCACUCAAGUAAUUGCUAUAUAGUGUUUUUAACUCUGAUUUAUGCCCAAACUACAGUAUUAGCACCUUUCCAAUGUUGUGAGAGUGCUUGCACUUUUAAAAAAGUAGAAACCCCUCUGAAACUUGUGUGAAAAGUAUAAUUUUCUUUAUUUUGCUGUACUAUCAUACCGUUGAUAUAAAUUAGAAUAUUGUAUAUGCAUUUUUAAAGUUCAUUUAAAGUGGCAUAAAGACUUGAGAAUUGCUUCCAGAGUCUUAUGGAUGCAAUUACCAGAAAGGCACCUUUGCACAGGUAAAACUUUCAGUACCACAUAAAAAUGAGCAGCAUUCUGGUUUGAAAAGAUUCAAUCUCUGUGGAGGACUUGGCUGUGAAAGAGUAAGGAAUUGAAAUAAUAUUUCUGACUGCAGUAAGAAAAUAU
Molecule: long non-coding RNA, 2737 nt
Filed under: Junco hyemalis (dark-eyed junco)
Lineage: Eukaryota; Metazoa; Chordata; Aves; Passeriformes; Passerellidae
Description: lncRNA (ENSJHYG00000005453.1)
Source: RNAcentral